RNAcentral lists this unclassified non-coding RNA (248 nucleotides) under uncultured Helotiales. RNAcentral describes it as "sequence contains 5.8S rRNA gene, ITS2, 28S rRNA gene". The record is from RNAcentral. Lineage: Eukaryota; Fungi; Ascomycota; Leotiomycetes; Helotiales.
AACGCACAUUGCGCCCUUUGGUAUUCCGAGGGGCAUGCCUGUUCGAGCGUCAUUUCAACCCCUCAAGCCUGGCUUGGUGUUGGGCCGCGCCAGCAUGCUGGCGGGCCUUAAAAUCAGUGGCGGUGCCGCUGGGGCUCUAAGCGUAGUAGCACAUCUCGCUCUGGAGACCUGGCGGUUGCUUGCCAGACAACCUUCACUAAAACAAAAGGUUUGACCUCGGAUCAGGUAGGGAUACCCGCUGAACUUAA